AUUGAACGCUGGCGGAAUGCUUUACACAUGCAAGUCGAACGAUGAAGUCUAGCUUGCUAGACGGAUUAGUGGCGAACGGGUGAGUAAUAUAUCGGAACGUAUCCAUUAAUGGGGGAUAACUAGUCGAAAGAUUGGCUAAUACCGCAUACGUCCUACGGGAGAAAGCUGGGGAUCGUAAGACCUGGCGUUAAUGGAGCGGCCGAUAUCUGAUUAGCUAGUUGGUGAGGUAAAGGCUCACCAAGGCGACGAUCAGUAGCUGGUCUGAGAGGACGACCAGGCACACUGGAACUGAGACACGGUCCAGACUGCUACGGGAGGCAGCAGUGGGGAAUUUUGGACAAUGGGCGAAAGCCUGAUCCAGCCAUUCCGCGUGAGUGAAGAAGGCCUUCGGGUUGUAAAGCUCUUUCGCAAGGGAAGAAAACUUAUCCUCUAACAUAGGGUGAGGUUGACGGUACCUUGAUAAGAAGCACCGGCUAACUACGUGCCAGCCGCCGCGGUAA
RNAcentral lists this ribosomal RNA (500 nucleotides) under uncultured bacterium. RNAcentral describes it as "partial 16S ribosomal RNA". It matches the Rfam family "Bacterial small subunit ribosomal RNA", at positions 30 to 523 of the family's 1533-position model. The record is from RNAcentral.